AACGCGAAGAACCUUACCAGGGCUUGACAUCCCGGUGACCGGACUAGAGAUAGUCUUUUCCCUUCGGGGACGCCGGUGACAGGUGGUGCAUGGUUGUCGUCAGCUCGUGUCGUGAGAUGUUGGGUUAAGUCCCGCAACGAGCGCAACCCUUACUGUUAGUUGCUAGCAUUUAGUUGAGCACUCUAAGGAGACUGCCGGGGAUAACCCGGAGGAAGGUGGGGAUGACGUCAAAUCAUCAUGCCCCUUAUGACCAGGGCUACACACGUGCUACAAUGGCGUAAACAGAGGGAAGCGAAGGAGUGAUCCGGAGCAAAUCCCAAAAAUAACGUCUCAGUUCGGAUUGUAGUCUGCAACUCGACUACAUGAAGCUGGAAUCGCUAGUAAUCGCGAAUCAGAAUGUCGCGGUGAAUACGUUCCCGGGUCUUGUACACACGC
RNAcentral lists this ribosomal RNA (435 nucleotides) under uncultured Ruminococcus sp. Its description in RNAcentral is "bacterial SSU rRNA". It matches the Rfam family "Bacterial small subunit ribosomal RNA", at positions 958 to 1393 of the family's 1533-position model. The record is from RNAcentral. Lineage: Bacteria; Bacillati; Bacillota; Clostridia; Eubacteriales; Oscillospiraceae.